This 243-nucleotide ribosomal RNA is filed under the name uncultured bacterium. RNAcentral's name for it is "partial 16S ribosomal RNA". It matches the Rfam family "Bacterial small subunit ribosomal RNA", at positions 534 to 776 of the family's 1533-position model. The record is from RNAcentral.
GCUAGCGUUGCUCGGAAUUACUGGGCGUAAAGGGCGCGUAGGCGGCCAUUUAAGUUAGAGGUGAAAGCCCAGGGCUCAACCCUGGAAUAGCCUUUAAUACUGGAUGUCUUGAGUUCGGGAGAGGUGAGUGGAAUGCCGAGUGUAGAGGUGAAAUUCGUAGAUAUUCGGCGGAACACCAGUGGCGAAGGCGACUCACUGGCCCGAUACUGACGCUGAGGCGCGAAAGCGUGGGGAGCAAACAGG